RNAcentral lists this ribosomal RNA (505 nucleotides) under uncultured bacterium. RNAcentral's name for it is "partial 16S ribosomal RNA". It matches the Rfam family "Bacterial small subunit ribosomal RNA", at positions 28 to 507 of the family's 1533-position model. The record is from RNAcentral.
GACGAACGCUGGCGGCGUGCCUAAUACAUGCAAGUAGAACGCACAGUUUAUACCGUAGCUUGCUACACCAUAGACUGUGAGUUGCGAACGGGUGAGUAACGCGUAGGUAACCUGCCUGGUAGCGGGGGAUAACUAUUGGAAACGAUAGCUAAUACCGCAUAAUAUUAAUUAUUGCAUGAUAAUUAAUUGAAAGGUGCAAUUGCACCACUACCAGAUGGACCUGCGUUGUAUUAGCUAGUAGGUGAGGUAACGGCUCACCUAGGCGACGAUACAUAGCCGACCUGAGAGGGUGAUCGGCCACACUGGGACUGAGACACGGCCCAGACUCCGACGGGAGGCAGCAGUAGGGAAUCUUCGGCAAUAGACGAAAGUCUGACCGAGCAACGCCGCGUGAGUGAAGAAGGUUUUCGGAUCGUAAAGCUCUGUUGUAAGGGAAGAACGGGUGUGAGAGUGGAAAGUUCACACUGUGACGGUAUCUGACCAGAAAGGGACGGCUAACUACGUG